This 663-nucleotide ribosomal RNA is filed under the name uncultured Bacteroidales bacterium. RNAcentral's name for it is "bacterial SSU rRNA". It matches the Rfam family "Bacterial small subunit ribosomal RNA", at positions 69 to 722 of the family's 1533-position model. Lineage: Bacteria; Pseudomonadati; Bacteroidota; Bacteroidia; Bacteroidales. The record is from RNAcentral.
GCAUCGGGAUUGAAGCUUGCUUCAAUUGCCGGCGACCGGCGCACGGGUGCGUAACGCGUAUGUAACCUACCUAUAACAGGGGCAUAACACUGAGAAAUUGGUACUAAUUCCCCAUAAUAUUCGGAGAGGCAUCUCUCCGGGUUGAAAACUCCGGUGGUUAUAGAUGGACAUGCGUUGUAUUAGCUAGUUGGUGAGGUAACGGCUCACCAAGGCAACGAUACAUAGGGGGACUGAGAGGUUAACCCCCCACACUGGUACUGAGACACGGACCAGACUCCUACGGGAGGCAGCAGUGAGGAAUAUUGGUCAAUGGACGCAAGUCUGAACCAGCCAUGCCGCGUGCAGGAAGACGGCUCUAUGAGUUGUAAACUGCUUUUGUACGAGGGUAAACUCACCUACGUGUAGGUGACUGAAAGUAUCGUACGAAUAAGGAUCGGCUAACUCCGUGCCAGCAGCCGCGGUAAUACGGAGGAUUCAAGCGUUAUCCGGAUUUAUUGGGUUUAAAGGGUGCGUAGGCGGUUUGAUAAGUUAGAGGUGAAAUCCCGGGGCUUAACUCCGGAACUGCCUCUAAUACUGUUAGACUAGAGAGUAGUUGCGGUAGGCGGAAUGUAUGGUGUAGCGGUGAAAUGCUUAGAGAUCAUACAGAACACCGAUUGCGAAGGC